UACGAGUGAGACAACAGUAAGGACAGCAAGAAUCGCUAGCUGUGAACGAUGUAGUAUACCUUAAGCCAAGCUGCAUCGGUGCCGCACGCUUUGUAUAUCAAGCCUUCGUCAGCGUUCGGGCAGAUUUGACCACCGCAGCUUUGGCAGAGAGAGCAAUCAAUGGCGUCGAAGACGUGGUCACUCUAUUCUACGUGGAUUCUCUUAGCGGUUAUCGUCGCCAUAAUCACUGUUGGUGCAGAAGGGUCAAAGUUACGUAUUCGGUCAUUAUGGCCGAAAUGUAAACAGGGAGAACACUCAGGAUGUGUGAAACCUCCCGGUAAUCCGUGCGGGGAGGACACCUGCAACGUGAAAAAACGCGGUAAUCUUUGCUCUCAAAGCUGUCUAAUGGACUGCGUGUGUAACAAAGGCCUGUAUCGUCGCUUGUCUGACAGGAAGUGUGUUCCCCAAAGUGAAUGCAAUGCCUAAUCUCACCGACAAUGGCGUCAUGUAGAUACGGCGCUGUAGUAAACGACCGCAGCUGCGUAUUCCAAAUUUUUCCCGAUGCCACAUAAUUCCAGAGCCACGAUCUUGAAGAAGUCACGUCGAAGGGACAGUUUGGCUCUGAUCUGAGCGUUCUAAAAUACGGGCAAAAAAUAAACUAAUAAAACAUUCUCUUCAUUA
Dermacentor andersoni is the source of this 660-nucleotide long non-coding RNA. RefSeq lists it as uncharacterized. The record is from RefSeq and is a predicted model, not a curated record. NCBI's taxonomy places the organism in Eukaryota, Metazoa, Arthropoda, Arachnida, Ixodida, Ixodidae.